AGUGAACGCUGGCGGUAGGCCUAACACAUGCAAGUCGAACGGCAGCACAGUAAGAGCUUGCUCUUACGGGUGGCGAGUGGCGGACGGGUGAGGAAUACAUCGGAAUCUACUUUUUCGUGGGGGAUAACGUAGGGAAACUUACGCUAAUACCGCAUACGACCUACGGGUGAAAGCAGGGGAUCUUCGGACCUUUCGCGAUUGAAUGAGCCGAUGUCGGAUUAGCUAGUUGGCGGGGUAAAGGCCCACCAAGGCGACGAUCCGUAGCGGGUCUGAGAGGAUGAUCAGCCACACUGGAACUGAGACACGGUCCAGACUCCUACGGGAGGCAGCAGUGGGGAAUAUUGGACAAUGGGCGCAAGCCUGAUCCAGCCAUGCCGCGUGGGUGAAGAAGGCCUUCGGGUUGUAAAGCCCUUUUGUUGGGAAAGAAAAGCAGCAGGUUAAUACCCCGCUGUUCUGACGGUACCCAAAGAAUAAGCACCGGCUAACUUCGUG
This 492-nucleotide ribosomal RNA is filed under the name uncultured bacterium. Its description in RNAcentral is "partial 16S ribosomal RNA". It matches the Rfam family "Bacterial small subunit ribosomal RNA", at positions 29 to 507 of the family's 1533-position model. The record is from RNAcentral.